Molecule: ribosomal RNA, 431 nt
Filed under: uncultured bacterium
Lineage: Bacteria
Description: partial 16S ribosomal RNA
Rfam family: Bacterial small subunit ribosomal RNA
Source: RNAcentral
CCUACGGGGGGCAGCAGUGGGGAAUUUUGGACAAUGGGGGCAACCCUGAUCCAGCCAUGCCGCGUGUGGGAAGAAGGCCUUCGGGUUGUAAACCACUUUGCGAGAAUCAUCGGUACCUGGAGAAUAAGCACCGGCUAACUACGUGCCAGCAGCCGCGGUAAUACGUAGGGUGCAAGCGUUAAUCGGAAUUACUGGGCGUAAAGCGUGCGCAGGCGGUUUGGCAAGUCAGAUGUGAAAGCCCCGGGCUCAACCUGGGAAUUGCAUUUGAAACUGCGAGGCUAGAAUGUGUCAGAGGGGGGUAGAAUUCCACGUGUAGCAGUGAAAUGCGUAGAGAUGUGGAGGAAUACCGAUGGCGAAGGCAGCCCCCUGGGAGAACUGACGCUCAUGCACGAAAGCGUGGGGAGCAAACAGGAUUAGAUACCCUUGUAGUC